UACGUAGGGGGCUAGCGUUGUCCGGAAUCAUUGGGCGUAAAGCGCGCGUAGGCGGCCCGGUAAGUCCGCUGUAAAAGUCCAGGGCUCAACCCUGGAACGCCGGUGGAUACUGUCGGGCUAGAGUCCGGAAGAGGCGAGUGGAAUUCCUGGUGUAGCGGUGGAAUGCGCAGAUAUCAGGAAGAACACCCGUGGCUAAGGCGGCUCUCUAGUACGGUACUGACGCUGAGACGCGAAAGCGUGGGGAGCGAACAGG
RNAcentral lists this ribosomal RNA (253 nucleotides) under uncultured bacterium. RNAcentral's name for it is "partial 16S ribosomal RNA". It matches the Rfam family "Bacterial small subunit ribosomal RNA", at positions 524 to 776 of the family's 1533-position model. The record is from RNAcentral.